CGAGCCGGCCGGGCGGCCGCGUCAGCGGGAGAUCGCUGCCGAGGAACGUCCGGGCUCCACAGGGCGAGGUGGUGGGUAACGCCCACCCGGGGUGACCCGCGGGACAGUGCCACAGAGAGAAGACCGCCGGCAGACGUGAACGCGCCUGCCGGUAAGGGUGAAAGGGUGCGGUAAGAGCGCACCAGCGCCCCGGGUGACCGGGGCGGCUAGGUAAACCCCACCCGGAGCAAGGCCAAGAGGUGGGCCGCGAGGCCCGCUGCGCAGGCGUUCGAGGGCUGCCCGCCCGAGCCUGCGGGUAGGCCGCUGGAGGCUGCCGGCAACGGCAGUCCUAGAUGGAUGGUCGCCGGCCGGAGCAGUGCCGCAAGGCGCUCCGGCUCACAGAACCCGGCGUACAGGCCG
This 399-nucleotide RNase P RNA is filed under the name Actinomycetota bacterium. Its description in RNAcentral is "partial RNase P RNA component class A". It matches the Rfam family "Bacterial RNase P class A". From Rfam's summary of the family: Ribonuclease P (RNase P) is a ubiquitous endoribonuclease, found in archaea, bacteria and eukarya as well as chloroplasts and mitochondria. Its best characterised activity is the generation of mature 5'-ends of tRNAs by cleaving the 5'-leader elements of precursor-tRNAs. Cellular RNase Ps are ribonucleoproteins. The record is from RNAcentral. Lineage: Bacteria; Bacillati; Actinomycetota.